Molecule: microRNA precursor, 79 nt
Filed under: Bombyx mori (domestic silkworm)
Lineage: Eukaryota; Metazoa; Arthropoda; Insecta; Lepidoptera; Bombycidae
Description: mir-2807 microRNA precursor family
Rfam family: mir-2807 microRNA precursor family
Source: Rfam by way of RNAcentral
UUAACUCAAAUUCGUAUGAAGUUGGAACGUUUGCCUACGUUUGCCGCUAGGGGCGCUGUUCCAACUGCUUGAUCACGUA